UUCUACAUACUAUUCCACACUGGCCCUAUAUAAACACAAAAUAACAAUAUUAAUUGGGUCUUGCACCAGAAGAAAAAUUAGGAGAGUUCAGCACUUUGGAGAGGAAGCAGAUUGGAUUUAAGAAGAGAAAAUAUAAAGAAAGACCUUCUUUAGGAAUAAGCUUGAGAAGUCAAGAGAUUUUCAAUUAUGCUUUAAAACAGAGUUUUCUCAUCUUGGAUAAGCUGUUUGGCCUCUCGGCUGCUGUAUCCCAACUUUGCAGAAUUUCAAACACGGAUAAUCAUCAACUCUCACCCACUGGCUCUUGCCCUAUGUAAGAGAGCAUCACACUUAAGUAGUUAAUAAUUGUGGGUUACAGUUUACUUAUUUUCUGACAUCUGUUUGCAUUUGUGGCAAGGGUAGGCAAAGUCUUCCAUCAGGUUUGCUGUAAAUUCAAAUACCAGCCAUCCUGCCCUGGCUAGCCCAGCUGGGUCUCUGGGUAUUAACUCGGCAGACAUCUGAUAAAGUGUUCCAGCAGGAAAAGUCAUUACCCACAGCUUUGCUUGGGGGAAGGAAGCGGAGGACCUGGGCCAUUUUACAUUUUUCUCAUUUCUCCCUGUCACGUUGGGACACAAUAUCAUGCAACCUAACAGUGUGAUGAGCUGAGAUGAGACACUGGGUCUGAGCAUUCGAUGUUCGAGGCUGCCAAACACAACACCCACAACAUGUUAAAUGAAGAAAGUGACUCAGUAUGCAGAGAGAGACUUCUCCCGGUGAGUUGGGGCCAGGACUGACACAAAUCCCAAGUCAGAUGUGGGCAGCUUUCUUCUCUGUGACUAUUUUGGAUUGAAUGCAAAUGUGAAUCAGUCUGUCAAGCAAGCUCUGAUUGUGAUUGACAUAUUUAUUGUUGACAAUGCUAGGAGAACCCAGAAGUCCAUUUAUACUUGAGGACCCUUCUGCCUGGAGCAUACGUGAGGUAAUACAUGUUAUAUAUGUAUUCAUGUUCAUUUUACUUUGUGAAAGAAGAUACAUAUCACUUACACUGAGGAAAAAUUCAUGGAGAAAAUCAAGUGAAGAAUGGUAUGCUUCAAUGUGCAUUUAGACUCCAUCCUUUCCUUCUAUGGUGGUAGACAGCCUUUUUCAUAGUGAGUCUCUUGGAACUGUCCUAGAUCCUUGCAGUGCUGAUAAUGCCUAUGUCAUUCAUAGUGUUAUUGUUCUUUCUCCUUACCUAGUUAUUAUAAUCAUUGUAUGUGUUAUUUUCCUGAUUUUGAUUACUUCACUAUAUGUCAACUUUAAUAAGCCUUCCCAUGAAUCCUCUCUAUUUUAUUUAAUAAGCAUUAAUUAAGCAUUAUGUGUCAGGCAGUGUGCUAGACACUGGGGUUACAUACAUGCCCACAAACCAUUCUCUAUUCUCACGGUAUUUAUUUUCCAUUGGCCUUAUUGAUUUAUAACUGUUUUAUGUGUGGGUCAUAUAUCAUUAUGGAAAACAUUGCCUAUAUUGGUUGUGCUAACUUACAAAACUUUUAGUUUCUGGGAACCCAGGAGAAGAGCAAAAUUUUACCAGCCUACCUAGUGAAUACUGACUGGGAUUACUGAAUAAAGAACUGCCAUUCAUCAAGUUCUUAAUAAAGACAUGGAUUUAGGAUUGAAAGGGAAUUCAGAGAUAAUCUAGCCCGACCCCCUCAUUUUACAUCUGAGGAUACUGAGACCCAUUAACUAACUUGUGACUAGCUUAGACAGUUUUUAGUAUCUCCAGAAAAGUGACUUCUUGAAAAAACUCCUGAUCAAACACUAACUAGGUCUAUACAUGCCAGUUUUAGCACUGUCUAAUAUUUAAAGGCACAUUCCCCUUGCCCUCUCUGUCUUAGGGAUAUUAUCUCUAAGAAAGCCAUACUCUGAAGUAAGUUUGUCUAAUUGGCACAGAACAGAACAUUCAUCUCAGUCAUGGAAAUAUUCAUAAAUCAGACAGAGAGAGAAAGAAGAAGAGGGGGAUAAAGAGAGAGACAGAGAAAUAGAAGAGAGAGGGGGAGAGAGAGAGAGAGAGAGAGAGAGAGAGAGAGAGAGAGAGAGAGAGAGAGAGAGAGAGAGAGAGAGAGAAUUUCAAUAACUAUGUCCUAUAAGGUUUUUUAGUUUUACUAGUCCUAAUGCAAAGGUAGGGGUCAAAAGAGAAUAUAAGAAGAUAAAAAAAAUCUGUUUCCUUAUUUUAAAAAAUGGUUACUUGCUUUAAAGUGGAGAAAGUGGCCUUCUAGAAAUCAGAAAUAACAAGAUUUGGUGUUCUGAACAGGUCCAAUUUGGGAGACAGAGUGAUUUUAAUUUUAUUCAUGAUGUUGGAUGAUAGGAUCAAGAUCCAAUUUACUCAGAAGGUUCAGUGAAAAAUAAUGUCAAGCCAGUUAUUUCAGUGUUUUAACAAAAAUGUAUCCUUUUAUCUCACUUUUUUAGUCUUGAAUAGGAAGUAUUUAUAACAUAACAUACUUUUAUACAACUUAUUUUAUACUAUUCUUUGCUUAGAAUAAACAACCCUGGACAAUUUCUGAGAGUAAGGAGAAGUAUAUAUAAUGUUUAAGAAAUGUAUGUAGGUAAUUAUUUAUAGAGUUAGCAAAAAUUCUAUAAUAGUUAAACAACAAGCUUCUCUAUGAAGAAUGAUCUUUAAGCAGAGAUAUAAAGAAGGAAAAUGAUUAAAGAGAAGUUAGAACCAAAGAUAAGUAAGGAGGUAGAAGCAGAGCACAUAUUAACCCUCAAUGAGUUCAAGCUACCCAGCCCAAAUUAAUGACUUCCUAGCAUGUUGAAAGGAUUGGUAAAUGUGACUAUUGGUUAUUGAUCUUUGAAAGUUUGUGCAGAACAGGGGUGGUGCUUCAGUACCAAAGAAGGGCAAAUAGUGGCAGUCAAGAUGGUGGAAGAGAAGCAGCAAUAGGGGCACUUGCCUUCUAAACAACUUUAAAAUAAUGUGUUAAAUUGAACUCUGUUGCAGCAUAGACACAAACAGUUUGGGGCGAGACAUUUUUCUAACAUAAGACAACUUAGGAGGUCAGAAGGAUUGGUUUGUAGAACUGAGAUGGAGACUGGGCCCAGAGCACACAAAUGGCGGCACCUGUGUUUGGUCUUAGAAGUUGCAAGUGUGGAAAGGAAACAAGAUUGACAGUUUGUGGGGGAAGGGGCCAACUGGGAGUGGCAGUUGGGUCUUGUGACUAGCACUUCCUUCCUGUUGGGUGUGGCAGUUGGGUCUUGUGACUAGCACUUCCUUCCUGCCAUGUGGAACUUGCUUCCUGGUGUUGGAGGAGAGAGGAGCUUGUUCAGCCCAGUCUGGAGUGGCAUGCUCUUCUUGGUUCAGCUGGAAGACACAAGCUUCUUAAGGUCAGAUUUGUUCUUUUUGCUUUCUGUCUACUGCUAAGAUUCUGAAUUAUACAAAACUGGACUGAUAUAGAGGAGAUGGAAGUGGGAAAAUCCUCCGCCAGCCUCUAGGGCUGGCCCUAGAAGCUAAGCAAAAACUCCAAUUCCAACUGGAUUAUUAAACUUUAUAUUAUUUGAAUUCACAGUCAGAUAAGUGGACUAUCUUUUCUGGUCAUAGAGGGAGCUGAACUUCAGUUUCAGUCAUUCAAAGACAAACAGACCUCAUUGGAACCCUGCUGCUUCCUCUCAGCGGGAGGCAUCUCCCUCCCUUGCCUCACCAAGCAAUAUACCCUCUUUACCUCACCUCCUCCAUACCCCUGCUACAAACCUCCCUUAUCCCCCUGUUAUUCCAAAUCCUAUUUCCUUUCCCAAUAAAUAUUACACAAGUGAAGCAGCAGCAGCUUUGAGAGCUCUCAGUCAAAAGACAGUAAGGAAAUUGAACUGGUCAGAAAGAGAUUAGAGGCAACUCUUUAUUCUCACUGGGUACUCUUUGCCAAUUCUAUUGCCUAUACACAGUUUAACAUUGCAGUUCCAGGGGGAAGAGGCAUAUUUGUGUGUCAAGGAAGCAGAGUCCUUAUCACAGUUCUAGGGCAGAAAGAAGCAUUAACACUUGUAGCUUGAGACCAGGGACCCUUCAGAGUUCAGACCAGAAGAGCAUUGACCACUCCUCUUCCGGGAUCAUACUUCCUUACAGGCACCAAAAGCUUGUAGACUUUCUGAAAUUAGCUAUAAGAACAACAGUGUCAAAAAGCCUAAAGCCUAGAAAGUGCUCCCUCUCCAGAUAAAAAAGAAUUCAAGUUUAACGUAAUAUAUAAAGUCAAGGAAAAGGCUAAAAAAUAAGAAAGCAACAAAAAAAGAACAUGAUGAUAAAAAGCUACCUCAAUGAAAGGGAGUAUUAAGACACAAAUAGAGAAGAUAACAAUGUGAAAAGAGGUAUAAUCAAAACCUCAAAAAAAAAAAAACUGAAAACUGGAAAGCAAUCCAACGAGAAUUCCUAGGAAAGCUGAAGGAAAAGAAAAAGAUUUUUAAAAUCACAAAAGAGUGGUAUAGGAAACAUGGAAAAAGAAAUGAGAGUAAUGCAAGAAUAUUAUGAAAACAAGAAUUAACAGCUUACUAAAGACAUAAAAAUACCUUAAAAACAGAAUUGAAUGAGUAUAAAAGAGGCACAAGAAUUCACUAAAGAAAAGAGCUUUCUAAAAAAGCAGAACUGGGCCAAUGGAAAAAAGUGAUACAAAACCUCACCCAAAAAAUAAUUCCUAAAAAAUUUAGAUGUGGAUAAGUGGAAAUUAAUGACUCCAUGGAACAUGAAGAAACAGUUAAACAAAGUGAAAAGAAUGAAGCUUCACCUGGGUACCAAUGUGGGCCAGGAUGUUCCUCGAUUAUCAUCUCCUAGAAAACUGGUCUUUCUAAACUCCAUAGGUAGACACUCCUCUAUGAUGGGGAUUGGGGACGUCAUGAUGUCUGGGUUCUUGCUAAACUUUAUGCUUCGCUAUAAUAACUAUAAGAAGCAGACAAGCAGUGACUCAAAUAGGACACCAGGAACAUCUGAUCUAACUAUUCUAGAGAGCAAGAUCUAUAAAACUAUGUAUGUCCUUUGAUCCAGCAAUACCACUAGGUGUGUAUUCUAAAGAGAUUUUUUUAAGAGAAAAAGGACCUAUUUUUACCAAAAUAUUUAUGGCAGUUAUUUUUGAGGUGGCAAAGAAUUGGAAACUGAGAAGAUGCCCAUCAACUAGAGAACAGCUGAACAAGUUGCCAUAUAUAAUUUGUGAUGGAAUACUAUUGUGCUUUAAAAAAUCUGGAAAGACUCAUAUGAACUGAUGCAAAGUGAAGUGAACAGAAGGAGGAGAAUACUGUACACAGUAAGAGCAAUAUUGUAUGAUGAUCUGCAGUGAAUAACUUAGCUGUUCUCAAUUAUAUAAUGAUCCAAGAAAACUUAAAAGGACUCAUGAAGAAAAAUGCUAUCCAUGUUCAGAGAAAGAACUAGUAGAGUAGUAAUACUGAUUGAAGCACUCCAUUUUCAUUUUAUUUUCUUUGAGAGCUUUUUUAUGUCUUCUUUCAUAACAUGACUAAUAUGGAAAUAAAGUUUGCAUAAUCACAAAUGAAAUAACAGGGUGUAGGGAAGUAAGGAAAGGAUAGAAUUUGGAAGUUAAAAUGUUGGAAAAAAAUAAAUGUUGAACAUUGUUUUAUGUAUAGUAGUAAUAGUCUCUCAAUAACAGAGGAUGACGAUUGUCUUUGUGUACUUUCAUCCGGGUUAGGAUAGAUGAGUGUGCACAAAGACACUUAUGUGUGAAAGAGAUUUAAGUGGAAGAGUCGAUGAACAGAAAUAGUCCCGCUCUCUCGGCAUUGGAAGCCUGGGUCCAGUGGCACGAAAAGUCGUUACACCUGGAGACUUCCUCAGCUGCAUUGGAUGGCCGUGUUGUCUUUUGUGCUCCAACAUGCCCUAAGCACUCCACAGUGCUUUGCUGCGUCGCCUCUCAGCCAUUGAACCUUCUUAUUGGUUUCUGUAUAAUGGGGACAAUAUUACUAAAACUAGAAAACAUAAUUGUGGAAUGUUCAACAAAAUAAAAAUGGAGUACAUUAAAAUAUCUUUAAUUUAAUUGAA
This is a long non-coding RNA of Monodelphis domestica (gray short-tailed opossum), 5965 nucleotides long. RefSeq lists it as uncharacterized. The record is from RefSeq and is a predicted model, not a curated record. Lineage: Eukaryota; Metazoa; Chordata; Mammalia; Didelphimorphia; Didelphidae.